CAACAACCGAAAGGAGGUGGUCCAGUGUCUCAUUGUCAUCAGCCGCAGGCAUCGGUGGCCCUGACCUGGAUCGUCGCCUCCGGCUUCGCAGCCUGAGCGCACGACACGGGUCGCCGGGCUGCGGUUCGGCAAUGGAAGGGUCGCUCCGGGAGACCGGGGCGGCCC
RNAcentral lists this small RNA (165 nucleotides) under Methylobacterium sp. 4-46. Its description in RNAcentral is "caulobacter sRNA CC2171". It matches the Rfam family "caulobacter sRNA CC2171". Lineage: Bacteria; Pseudomonadati; Pseudomonadota; Alphaproteobacteria; Hyphomicrobiales; Methylobacteriaceae. The record is from Rfam by way of RNAcentral.